Non-coding RNA from Thiorhodovibrio sp., 142 nucleotides. The record is from Rfam. NCBI's taxonomy places the organism in Bacteria, Pseudomonadati, Pseudomonadota, Gammaproteobacteria, Chromatiales, Chromatiaceae.
UAGCGGGUUAGAGUCCCGCCUGGGUAAUCGUGAGCCGCGAGCCCGGUAUCAAGCCUUACGGCGCGAAGGGUAACUGACGCGUCGGUGCGUAGGUGUUAGCUCUCAAUUUAGUCCACCGGCAAUUUUCCAAACUGUAUCGAGA